Molecule: ribosomal RNA, 497 nt
Filed under: uncultured bacterium
Lineage: Bacteria
Description: partial 16S ribosomal RNA
Rfam family: Bacterial small subunit ribosomal RNA
Source: RNAcentral
GAUGAACGCUGGCGGCGUGCCUAAUACAUGCCAGUCGAGCGAACAGACGAGGAGCUUGCUCCUCUGACGUUAGCGGCGGACGGGUGAGUAACACGUGGAUAACCUACCUAUAAGACUGGGAUAACUUCGGGAAACCGGAGCUAAUACCGGAUAAUAUAUUGAACCGCAUGGUUCAAUAGUGAAAGCCGGUUUUGCUGUCACUUAUAGAUGGAUCCGCGCCGCAUUAGCUAGUUGGUAAGGUAACGGCUUACCAAGGCGACGAUGCGUAGCCGACCUGAGAGGGUGAUCGGCCACACUGGAACUGAGACACGGUCCAGACUCCUACGGGAGGCAGCAGUAGGGAAUCUUCCGCAAUGGGCGAAAGCCUGACGGAGCAACGCCGCGUGAGUGAUGAAGGUCUUCGGAUCGUAAAACUCUGUUAUUAGGGAAGAACAAAUGUGUAAGUAACUAUGCACGUCUUGACGGUACCUAAUCAGAAAGCCACGGCUAACUACGUG